Molecule: non-coding RNA, 180 nt
Filed under: Caryophanon tenue
Lineage: Bacteria; Bacillati; Bacillota; Bacilli; Caryophanales; Caryophanaceae
Description: Lysine sequence
Rfam family: Lysine riboswitch aptamer
About the family: Riboswitches are metabolite binding domains within certain messenger RNAs that serve as precision sensors for their corresponding targets. Allosteric rearrangement of mRNA structure is mediated by ligand binding, and this results in modulation of gene expression.
Source: Rfam by way of RNAcentral
AAGAGAGGUAGAGGUCGCGAAUUUGAAAAAGUACAGCACUUGAAGGUCGAGCCUAGUGAAAGUGUUGGAAAGGUCAUAUUCGCCGAAGCGUGAAACAAACAUCGAUAUGUUACGCGCUGGGGCUGGGGCUGAAGAAGACCAGAACUGGCACAUAGAAAUAUGUGUUGUGCUAUCUUUUUU